This 465-nucleotide ribosomal RNA is filed under the name uncultured bacterium. RNAcentral's name for it is "partial 16S ribosomal RNA". It matches the Rfam family "Bacterial small subunit ribosomal RNA", at positions 338 to 795 of the family's 1533-position model. The record is from RNAcentral.
CCUACGGGAGGCAGCAGUAGGGAAUCUUCCACAAUGGGCGAAAGCCUGAUGGAGCAACGCCGCGUGGGUGAAGAAGGUCUUCGGAUCGUAAAACCCUGUUGUUAGAGAAGAAAGUGCGUGAGAGUAACUGUUCACGUUUCGACGGUAUCUAACCAGAAAGCCACGGCUAACUACGUUCCAGCAGCCGCGGUGAUACGUAGGUGGCAAGCGUUAUCCGGGUUUAUUGGGCGUAAAGGGAACGCAGGCGGGACUUUAAGUCUGAUUUGAAAGCCCUCGGCUUAACCGGAGUAUGGCAUUGGAAACUUGGAGACUUGAGUGCCGAAGAGGAGAGGGGAAUUCCAGGUGUAGCGGUGAAAUGCGUAGAUAUUAGGAGGAACACCAGUGGCGAAGGCGGUUUACUGGACUGUAACUGACGCUGAGGCUCGAAAGCCUGGGGAGCAAACAGGAUUAGAUACCCCAGUAGUC